This 657-nucleotide long non-coding RNA is filed under the name Selaginella moellendorffii. Its description in RNAcentral is "long non-coding RNA (SMOE_LNC002460)". Lineage: Eukaryota; Viridiplantae; Streptophyta; Lycopodiopsida; Selaginellales; Selaginellaceae. The record is from RNAcentral.
AAGCAAGGAAGUAAGCCACCUUGCUCCUCAAUAGUGUGGCUGGUGUGUUUCUUGACGUGGUCGGAUCUUAAAAACAGCUGUACUUCUAAGUUCCUGGUGAGGAAUUGUAUGGAAACGCAAUAACCACAUCGUGUUUGGACAGAUGGGUCAUGAGAAAAACCAAGAUUCACUCGCAAAACAAUAUUCCUUUCAAAAGUACCAAGAAAUGUGAGGCCCUUUCAGGGCAUCACACAAGAAUGCAUAGGCAACAAAACGUUCAGCAAAAUUCAUAGCUGAGUCAGUUGCAUAAGUCGAGGUUGCUCUGCAAUCCUCAUGGCCUUCAAAGCGCAAGCCCCAGCACUGUUUGUCUCUCGCCCCAGCAUUUGCCCCGAGAAGGCACAAGUUUUACAAACAGUGCCCAGCAAAUACCGCAACCAGGUACCUGCCACCUUUCUGUUCCACGAGAAUGACAGGGGGGCCUGUUAUUUCCAGCUCAGGAAACGAGACAGCUACUGAGCUAAAUAUAUCAUGUGCUCCAGAGCUUCUCCUAUUUCAGGCAAAAAGACCACUAGACCCCACCCCAUACAUGUGGUGCUUUGGGGCAUUUGUGAGUAGCAGAUGCCGAGUGUUGGCAUUUGCAUGGCAUGUGCACAUGGAUGUGUCCGGUGUAUGCGAGGC